CGUGGGUGACCUGCCUCAAGCUCUGGGAUAAGCCUGGGAAACUGGGUCUAAUACCGGAUAUGACUUCAUGCUGCAUGGUGUGGGGUGGAAAGUUUUUUCGGCUUGGGAUGGGCCCGCGGCCUAUCAGCUUGUUGGUGGGGUGAUGGCCUACCAAGGCUUCGACGGGUAGCCGGCCUGAGAGGGCGUCCGGCCACACUGGGACUGAGACACGGCCCAGACUCCUACGGGAGGCAGCAGUGGGGAAUAUUGCGCAAUGGGCGGAAGCCUGACGCAGCGACGCCGCGUGGGGGAUGACGGCCUUCGGGUUGUAAACCUCUUUCGACCUCGACGAAGCCUUUGGGUGACGGUAGGGGUGGAAGAAGCACCGGCCAACUACGUGCCAGCAGCCGCGGUAACACGUAGGGUGCGAGCGUUGUCCGGAAUUAUUGGGCGUAAAGAGCUCGUAGGCGGUGUGUCGCGUCGGCCGUGAAAACCUGCAGCUUAACU
Molecule: ribosomal RNA, 486 nt
Filed under: uncultured Pseudonocardia sp.
Lineage: Bacteria; Bacillati; Actinomycetota; Actinomycetes; Pseudonocardiales; Pseudonocardiaceae
Description: bacterial SSU rRNA
Rfam family: Bacterial small subunit ribosomal RNA
Source: RNAcentral